RNAcentral lists this long non-coding RNA (311 nucleotides) under Coturnix japonica (Japanese quail). RNAcentral's name for it is "lncRNA (ENSCJPG00005002496.1)". The record is from RNAcentral. Lineage: Eukaryota; Metazoa; Chordata; Aves; Galliformes; Phasianidae.
AAACAAUUGACUUCUUUCCCUAUCCUGUUUGCAGGUAAUGCUGUUAUCCAACAAAAGGCUGAAUCCUACAAGGGCUUGAGAGUGGUGUUACCAUUAAUGGUCGGUGUUCUUCCUGCAGGCACAGGAGCACAUUCCCACCUCAGCCACACUUCUUCUCCAGUAGUUCAAGAGCAGAAGAGACUGAUCCAAACCCAGCGCUGCCUGCAGCUCUGCAUCAGCCGGUUUCCUCACACACGAUUAUUUGUGAUGGAAACAUCUUCCUGCUGGUUCUCCCCCUGGCUUGGUUAAAUGGGUGUCAGGCUGCACAACUG